This 494-nucleotide ribosomal RNA is filed under the name uncultured bacterium. Its description in RNAcentral is "partial 16S ribosomal RNA". It matches the Rfam family "Bacterial small subunit ribosomal RNA", at positions 28 to 507 of the family's 1533-position model. The record is from RNAcentral.
GACGAACGCUGGCGGCGUGCUUAACACAUGCAAGUCGAACGGAAAGGCCUGCUUUCCCUUGUGGAUUGCGGGUACUCGAGUGGCGAACGGGUGAGUAACACGUGAGUGAUCUGCCCCCAACUUGGGUAUAAGCCUGGGAAACUGGGUCUAAUUCCCGAUAGGACUGCAGGGUGGUGCCUGUGGUGGAAAACGAUUUUCUAGUGGUUGGGGAUGAGCUCGCGGCCUAUCAGCUUGUUGGUGGGGUAAUGACCUACCAAGGCGGCGACGGGUAGCCGGCCUGAGAGGGUGGACGGCCACAUUGGGACUGAGAUACGGCCCAGACUCCUACGGGAGGCAGCAGUGGGGAAUAGUGCACAAUGGGCGGAAGCCUGAUGCAGCGACGCCGCGUGGGGGAUGACGGCCUUCGGGUGGUAAACUCCUUUCGACCGCGAGGAAGCCACCUGGUUGGAAGGGUGGUGACGGUAGUGGUAGAAGAAGCACCGGCUAACUACGUG